AUGCCUCCUCUCAUCUACACAUUACUCGGGCUUCUCCUCCUCUCGUACACAGCUCCUCGGUGCUCCUCUGCAGGCGACACUCUCGCGGCAGGUCAAACUUUCGCGGCUGUUGGUGCCGGUGCCGGCAAGCUCGUCUCAAGAAAUGGCAAGUACGCGCUCGGCUUCUUCCAACCAGCUACGAUGAUUGCAAGCACCAUGAGUAGUAGUAAGUCCCACCACAACACCAGCUCCAGCUCUAGCUGGUACUUUGGCAUAUGGUUCAAUAAAAUUCCAGUUUUUACUACUGUGUGGGUUGCUAAUAGGGAGGAGCCCAUCUCCCAUCCCAAUAUCAACUCCACACAGCUCAGGAUCUCAAGUGAUGGCAAUCUUGUCAUCAUCGUAGACCAUGUUGAUGCCGGCACUGAAUCCCUUGUCUGGUCCACUCACAUCGUCAAUAGGACACAAACCACCACCACCACUACAACCCUUGUUCUCUUGAACAGUGGAAACCUUGUCCUCCUACCCACAAACGCUAGCCAAGAGAUGCCGUCGUGGCAGAGUUUCGACCACCCAACAGAUGUUGUGCUUCCUGGCGUCAAGCUUGGCUGGGACAAGGUCACCGGCUUGAGUAACACGAUCAUCUCAAAGAAGAGUCUCAUUAACCCUGGUCUUGGCUCAUACAGUGUUGGACUAGAAGGUGCCACGGGGAUGGUCCUCAAGCGCCGCAACAACCCCUCUGUAGUGUAUUGGCAAUUUGUGUCCUCUACAACAUCAACAUUGGUACCAAUAAUCCAGUCACUGGUAGAUUUGGAUCCUCGGAUUAAAGGUCUGGUUAACCCAAUAUAUGUUGAUAACAACCGAGAGGAGUACUACAUGUACACUUCACCGGAUGAAUCACCACCUUUAUUUGUCUCACUGGACACCUCGGGUCAAACAAAAAUGAUGUUUUGGUCUCCAGCCAGACAGACCUGGGAAACCAUAGGUGCCAACCCUGAUGGUCCCUGCAUGACGCCUGCUACAUGUGGACCUUUUGCGGUCUGCAACAACCAUGCACAUAUAUUAUGUGAGUGUAUGGAGGGCUUCUCUCAGAAGUCACCACAGGAUUGGGAGUUUAAUGAUAGAACAGGCGGAUGCAUCAGAAACACACCAUUACAGUACUGCGGCACUAGUGAGAAAAACAUGACAAGUUCAACAGACAUGUUCCACCCGAUUGCUCAAGCUACAUUGCCCUACAAGCCCCAACUAAUAGCCCUUGCUUCAACUCAGACAAAAUGCGAAGAAGCUUGUCUUAGCUCUUGUUCUUGCACUGCUUAUUCCUUUAACAAUGACAAAUGCUCUGUCUGGUAUGGGGAAUUACUUAGUGUAAGUAUGAAUGAUGGCAUUGAUUUUACAGCUGAAGAUGUUCUUUACAUUCGCCUUGCCGCCAAAGAUUUAAGUUUCAGAAAAAAUAAAAGGAAACCGCAUGUCGGAGUUGUUACUGCGGGAGCCAUUAUUGGUUUUGGGUUACUAAUGAUCAUGGUGUUGUUAUUGAUUUGGAUGAAGAAAUUCAAAGUGUGUGGUUUGCCUUUAUACGGCAAUCAGGAUAGUGGUGGAGGGAUUAUGGCCUUUAGAUUCACGGAUUUAGUCCGUGCUACUAAAAACUUCUCGGAAAAGCUAGGAGGAGGUGGUUUUGGUUCUGUAUACAAGGGGGUAUUAAAUGACUCAACUAGUAUAGCAGUGAAAAGGCUUGAUGGUGCAUGUCAAGGAGAGAAGCAAUUCAGGGCCGAGGUGAGCUCAGUUGGACUCAUCCAACAUAUCAACAUAGUCAAAUUGAUUGGUUUCUGCAGCGAAGGUGAUAAAAGGUUACUUGUGUAUGAACACAUGUCAAAUGGGUCUCUGGAUGUCCAUCUGUUUAAGAAGAGCAAUGCUAAUGGUGAUAUCCUGAACUGGAACACUAGAUUUCAAAUAACCCUUGGAAUUGCUAGAGGAUUGUCCUACUUGCAUCAGAGUUGUCGCCAAUGCAUCAUACACUGUGAUAUUAAACCAGAAAAUAUACUUUUGGAUGCAUCAUUUGUUCCUAAAGUUGCAGACUUUGGGUUGGCGGCAUUAGUCGGACGGGAUUUUAGCCGAAUUCUAACCACAUUCAGAGGAACUAUUGGUUAUCUUGCUCCGGAGUGGCUUAGCGGGAAUGCUAUUACGCCGAAAAUUGAUGUUUAUAGCUUCGGCAUGGUACUUUUGGAAAUCAUAUCAGGGGCUAGGAAUUCAUCUGGAACAGACAACACUAGGAACAACCACUCUGCUAAAUUUUUCCCCGUGCAAGCUAUCCACAAGCUUCAUGGGGGUGAUGUGCAGAGUUUGGUGGAUCCAAAUUUGCAUGGUGACUUCAAUUUAGAAGAGGUCGAAAGGGUUUGCAAGGUUGCAUGUUGGUGUAUCCAAGAUAAUGAAUUUGAUCGACCGGCGAUGGGUGAAAUGGUACGGGUUCUCGAGGGUCUACAGGAGAUUGACAUGCCCCCGAUGCCGAGACAACUUGCGGCUAUGACGGAACAAUAUGGUGUAACCUCUUCAAUAUACAUAGUAAACAGUCACAGUCGAUGUGACUAA
This 2559-nucleotide ribosomal RNA is filed under the name Triticum aestivum (bread wheat). Its description in RNAcentral is "partial small subunit ribosomal RNA". Lineage: Eukaryota; Viridiplantae; Streptophyta; Magnoliopsida; Poales; Poaceae. The record is from RNAcentral.